CCUACGGGUGGCAGCAGUGGGGAAUAUUGCACAAUGGGGGAAACCCUGAUGCAGCAACGCCGCGUGAGCGAUGAAGGCCUUCGGGUAGUAAAGCUCUGUCCUAAGGGAAGAAUACUGACGGUACCUUAGGAGGAAGCCACGGCUAACUACGUGCAAGCAGCCGCGGUAAUACGUAGGGGGCUAGCGUUAUCCGGAAUUACUGGGCGUAAAGGGAGCGUAGGCGGCCCUUCAGGUCAGAGGUGUAAGGCUACGGCUCAACCGUAGUAAGCCUUUGAAACUGUAGGGGUUGAGUGCAGGAGAGGAGAGUGGAAUUCCCAAUGUCGCGGUGAAGUGCGUAGAUAUUGGGAGGAACACCAGUUGCGAAGGCGGCUCUCUGGACUGUAUCUGACGCGGAGGCGCGAAAGCGUGGGGAGCGAACAGGAUUAGAUACCCUAGUAGUC
RNAcentral lists this ribosomal RNA (440 nucleotides) under uncultured bacterium. RNAcentral describes it as "bacterial SSU rRNA". It matches the Rfam family "Bacterial small subunit ribosomal RNA", at positions 338 to 795 of the family's 1533-position model. The record is from RNAcentral.